UACGGAGGGGGCUAGCGUUGUUAAGAUUUACUGGGCGUAAAGGGCGCGUAGGCGGACCAUCAAGUCAGGGGUGAAAGACCUGGGCUCAACCCAGGAAUUGCCUUUGAAACUGAAGGUCUAGAGUCCGAGAGAGGUUAGCGGAAUUCCCAGUGUAGAGGUGAAAUUCGUAGAUAUUGGGAAGAACACCAGUGGCGAAGGCGGCUAUCUGGCUCGGUACUGACGCUGAGGCGCGAAAGCGUGGGGAGCAAACAGG
Molecule: ribosomal RNA, 253 nt
Filed under: uncultured bacterium
Lineage: Bacteria
Description: partial 16S ribosomal RNA
Rfam family: Bacterial small subunit ribosomal RNA
Source: RNAcentral